AAUAGAUACCCUGGUAGUCCACGCCGUAAACGAUGGAUGCUAGCUGUGAGGAGUAUCGACCCUCCUCGUAGCGUAGCUAACGCGUUAAGCAUCCCGCCUGUGGAGUACGGUCGCAAGACUAAAACAUAAAGGAAUUGACGGGGACCCGCACAAGCGGUGGAGCGUGUUGUUUAAUUCGAUGGUAAGCGAAGAACCUUACCCAGGCUUGACAUCCUGCUAAUCACUCCGAAAGGAGAGAGUGCCUUCGGGCCGCAGUGGCAGGUGUUGCAUGGCCGUCGUCAGCUCGUGUCGUGAGAUGUUUGGUUAAGUCCAUCAACGAGCGCAACCCCUAUAGUUAGUUGUAUUUCUCUAGCUAGACUGCCCUGGUAACAGGGAGGAAGGGGGGGAUGAUGUCAGGUCAGUAUUACCCUUACGCCUGGGGCUACAAACACGCUACAAUGGCCGGUACAAAGGGCUGCCAACCCGCGAGGGGGAGCAAAUCCCAUCAAAGCCGGUCUCAGUUCGGAUUGCAGGCUGAAACUCGCCUGCA
RNAcentral lists this ribosomal RNA (529 nucleotides) under uncultured bacterium. RNAcentral's name for it is "bacterial SSU rRNA". It matches the Rfam family "Bacterial small subunit ribosomal RNA", at positions 777 to 1320 of the family's 1533-position model. The record is from RNAcentral.